CAAUAGCGUAUAUUUAAGUUGUUGCAGUUAAAAAGCUCGUAGUCGGAUUUUGGCUGAGAACGAUCGGUCCGCCGUUAGGUGUGCACUGAUUGGUCUCAGCUUCCUGGUGAGGAGGUGUGCUUCACGGCCACUUAGUCACCGUGGUUACUUUGAAAAAAUUAGAGUGUUCAAAGCGGGCUUACGCUUGAAUAUAUUAGCAUGGAAUAACACCAUAGGACUCCUGUCCUAUUUCGUUGGUCUCGGGACGGGAGUAAUGAUUAAGAGGAACAGUUGGGGGCAUUCGUAUUUCAUUGUCAGAGGUGAAAUUCUUGGAUUAUCGGAAGACGAACAUCUGCGAAAGCAUUUGCCAAGGAUGUUUUCAUUGA
This 365-nucleotide ribosomal RNA is filed under the name uncultured eukaryote. RNAcentral describes it as "partial 18S ribosomal RNA". It matches the Rfam family "Eukaryotic small subunit ribosomal RNA", at positions 592 to 976 of the family's 1831-position model. The record is from RNAcentral.